This 231-nucleotide ribosomal RNA is filed under the name uncultured bacterium. RNAcentral describes it as "partial 16S ribosomal RNA". It matches the Rfam family "Bacterial small subunit ribosomal RNA", at positions 99 to 334 of the family's 1533-position model. The record is from RNAcentral.
CGGACGGGUGAGUAAUGUCUGGGAAACUGCCUGAUGGAGGGGGAUAACUACUGGAAACGGUAGCUAAUACCGCAUAACGUCGCAAGACCAAAGAGGGGGCCUUCGGGCCUCUUGCCAUCGGAUGUGCCCAGAUGGGAUUAGCUAGUAGGUGGGGUAAAGGCUCACCUAGGCGACGAUCCCUAGCUGGUCUGAGAGGAUGACCAGCCACACUGGAACUGAGACACGGCCCAG